GACAGAGGGUGCAAACGUUUGUUCGGAAUUACCGGUGGCGUAAAGCGCGUGUAGGCUGCUUGGAAAGUCGGAUGUGAAAGCCCUGGGCUCAACCCAGGAAGUGCAUUCGAAACUUCCGAGCUCGAGUUCUGGAGAGGAUAGCGGAAUUCUCGGUGUAGAGGUGAAAUUCGUAGAUAUCGAGAGGAACACCGGUGGCGAAGGCGGCUAUCUGGACAGAAACUGACGCUGAGACGCGAAAGCGUGGGGAGCAAACAGG
RNAcentral lists this ribosomal RNA (256 nucleotides) under uncultured bacterium. RNAcentral's name for it is "partial 16S ribosomal RNA". It matches the Rfam family "Bacterial small subunit ribosomal RNA", at positions 524 to 776 of the family's 1533-position model. The record is from RNAcentral.